Coregonus clupeaformis (lake whitefish) is the source of this 924-nucleotide long non-coding RNA. RefSeq lists it as uncharacterized. Lineage: Eukaryota; Metazoa; Chordata; Actinopteri; Salmoniformes; Salmonidae. The record is from RefSeq and is a predicted model, not a curated record. The transcript has 4 exons.
UGUAUGUAUGGGGUGAAUAGCUGAGACCUAGAAUCGAGAGCAAACAGCAAACACAGGCAAUGAGGAAAAGCAAUUUGGGUAAUUCAUAGCUCAGGAUGCUACUGUGUCUGUUGACACCAACUGCUACUUUAACACAGUUACUGUACUGUUGCUCCUCAGCAGUCCCCUCUGAUGGAUGGUUUCAAUGGUGUGCAAUCCCAAUUAGGGUUGAAUGGCUGGAACCCAGUUCCCGAGAUUUACUGCCCAAAACCACUCCCUUUUCCCAGGAUAAAUAACUGCGAGAAACCGAGAGACGCAACUCAGGCUGUGGUUGUUGAAGUGUAAUCAGACGCUGAGCAAGUCCAUGGAGAAACAGAACCUUUGAGAAAGAGAGAUGCUUUUUCGUUCAUCAAGGCCAUCCAGGAAGUGAAUGAAAGACUGCUGACCAUGAACCCUGAUGAGAUAUUCCUGUUUGAUGUGAUUCUGCUGGCCAAUGACAGCGAAGAAACACACUCAAAUAUCAUUGCCAGUGCAAAACAUUAUGGUAUGGCAUAAACUUUGAGUUACAGUAGGGGUAUGGAAGAGAAUCACAACAAGAUAUGUAAGAUGAAUCCCUAUUUUCAAGAACAGUGUUCUUACUUUAUUAUUAAGUAGUCAUUUCUAGGUAAUCCAUGUGUAGGCCUAGUUAACGUGUAAUUAUCACAAACUGGAUGUUGUAUUUCUUGUAUUCCCCAAAAGUUAUUGAUAUUAGCAGAUUUUACUUCUGCGACAAGGAGGAUUCCAUUUAGAGCCUGCAACCAAAUAACCUGAAGCUGUACUUGUCAACAGAUACCAAUGAUGUUUGCAAGGCCUUACUAAAGAAAAGUAUUGCUGUGUCACGGAAUCAGCCGAGGCUGCUCCUCCUCCUUGCUCGGGCAGGCUUCGGUGUUCGUCGUCCCCGGAGUA